AUGGCCAUCGAGGACCACCCACCAGAACCCACUCGUAUUCCGGCUGAGGAGUGGAAGCAAACAGCAAAUGAGUUCACAUCUUGUGUGUGGGAAUCAAAGUUCCAUAGGUUCCCUGCGAGCCUACGGGAUCUAGGCGAGCGGUACAUAGAGCCGAUGGUGGUGGCAAUCGGCCCUUACCACCACGGCAUUCCCAAGCUCGAGGAGAUGGAGAAGUUGAAGAUGGUGGCUGCACACUGUUUCAUUGAGGACUCGGGUCACUCGCCCGAGGAGAUCUACGGUGCCGUCUCCGCCGUCGCGGGGAUGGCCCGCGGCCUCUACGUCGGCGAUGAGGUGGCAGAUCCGUCGUUGCAGCGUGCGCUCAUCUGCAACCGAGUUUGCAUCGAGAACGACAUCAUGCUGCUGGAGAACCAGAUCCCUUGGUCCGUAGUGGAUAUACUCAACGGGCUCAGUGGUGCUCCUGCUCCGGUGGACAAGUUCAUCUCUAUCAUGGGAAGCAUGUUCCAGAUCGGGCAACGGGGGAGCGUUGGAAUUGGAUCAUUUUUAACUCUUUUAAGUACUGGUUGCAACCCGCCACAUCUCCUUGCCCUCUUCCGGAUGGAGAAAGUGGGGCCAGUCCAUAGAUCCUAUGUAGAGCUCCCAUCCACCUUGCCGUUCACGAUACGUGCCACCGAUCUCGCCCGGAUGUCCAUCAGGAUCAAGCCCUGCAUGACGCCAUAUUUCUGUGACAUGGGCAUCUGGAUAGCGAAGAUCUUCAGCUAUCUCUUCCUUCCGCCGCUGUUCCUCGACGAAACGAGGGCGUGCUGGCUCGUAAACAUGGCCGCCCUCGAGGUCUGCACAGCCUCCAACGACAGGGAGGAUAUCAGGAAGUUACAUACCGCCGUGUGCUCGUACCUCGCCCUCCUGGCGAUGCUCAUGAACCGGGAGGAGGACGUGGAGGAGCUGCAUAAGAAGCAGAUAUUGCAAGCAAAUCUGACCGACAAGGAGACGCUAGAUUUCUUCAAGAACCUUGUGAAGCGCCUAGACGGCGGCCCGGUCUACAACUCCAUCGUGGCGGAGAUUCAGCAGUACAAGGAGACGACGAGCUGGAUCAAGGUCUACGGCUUCAUCCAAGACAACACAAAAAUCAUCCUCACGAUGCUGCCCAUCAUUGGCUUUCUUGCUGGUAUCUUGAGGACGCUCCUCUCUCUGAACUCACGCCAGCAGUAUAACUAG
This 1212-nucleotide ribosomal RNA is filed under the name Triticum aestivum (bread wheat). Its description in RNAcentral is "partial small subunit ribosomal RNA". The record is from RNAcentral. Lineage: Eukaryota; Viridiplantae; Streptophyta; Magnoliopsida; Poales; Poaceae.